RNAcentral lists this unclassified non-coding RNA (334 nucleotides) under soil metagenome. RNAcentral describes it as "partial contains 5.8S ribosomal RNA, internal transcribed spacer 2, and large subunit ribosomal RNA". The stretch from base 1 to 120 matches the Rfam family "5.8S ribosomal RNA", at positions 35 to 154 of the family's 154-position model. The record is from RNAcentral.
GAUGAAGAACGUAGCGAAAUGCGAUAAGUAAUGUGAAUUGCAGAAUUCAGUGAAUCAUCGAAUCUUUGAACGCACAUUGCGCCCCCCAGUAUUCUGGCGGGCAUGCCUGUUCGAGCGUCAUUUCAACCAUCAAGCCCUGCUUGUGUUGGGGUCCUGCGGCUGCCCGCAGGCCCUGAAAACCAGUGGCGGGCUCGCUAGUCACACCGAGCGCAGUAGCACAUCUCGCUCAGGGCGUGCGGCGGGCUCCAGCCGUUAAAGCACCCACCUUUCGCAAGGUUGACCUCGGAUCAGGUAGGAAGACCCGCUGAACUUAAGCAUAUCAAUAAGCGGAGGA